UACAGAGGAUGCAAGCGUUAUCCGGAAUGAUUGGGCGUAAAGCGUCUGUAGGUGGCUUUUUAAGUCCGCCGUCAAAUCCCAGGGCUCAACUCUGGACAGGCGGUGGAAACUACCAAGCUGGAGUACGGUAGGGGCAGAGGGAAUUUCCGGUGGAGCGGUGAAAUGCGCAGAUAUCAGGAGGAACACCGGUGGCGAAGGCGGGUCUCUGGGCCGUAACUGACGCUGAGGGGCGAAAGCGUGGGGAGCGAACAGG
RNAcentral lists this ribosomal RNA (253 nucleotides) under uncultured bacterium. RNAcentral describes it as "partial 16S ribosomal RNA". It matches the Rfam family "Bacterial small subunit ribosomal RNA", at positions 524 to 776 of the family's 1533-position model. The record is from RNAcentral.